AGGGACUUAAGUUAACUAAAAAAACUAAUAGCCUUCAAAGCUUUAAUUGGUAUAAUCCAGCCCCUA
This 66-nucleotide transfer RNA is filed under the name Lampsilis powellii. RNAcentral describes it as "tRNA-Trp". Lineage: Eukaryota; Metazoa; Mollusca; Bivalvia; Unionida; Unionidae. The record is from RNAcentral.